Molecule: long non-coding RNA, 284 nt
Organism: Canis lupus familiaris (dog)
Lineage: Eukaryota; Metazoa; Chordata; Mammalia; Carnivora; Canidae
Exons: 4
Source: RefSeq, a predicted model, not a curated record
GAGUUUUUCUUUCAAUAGGAAAUUAAACAAAGCUGUGAACAACUGAAGAGAAGGAGCGUGGAGUCCUCUCCCAAGGAGAGCCUGAGUAGCCAGCACAGACUGAUUGGCUGUCCUCCACUUUCCCCAGAAAAACUUAAAGCAGGGUGACACCAUCUCCAGCUCCAGGGGCAAAUCAUAUUUGAUGGUACUUUUGGAAUGGAUGCUUUCAAGUGAGACUGAUGAUUCAACUGGUCUCCAGAAUCAGGCCCUGGGCUGAAGGCUGUGCUAAACCACUGAGCCACCUG